Molecule: ribosomal RNA, 253 nt
Filed under: uncultured bacterium
Lineage: Bacteria
Description: partial 16S ribosomal RNA
Rfam family: Bacterial small subunit ribosomal RNA
Source: RNAcentral
UACGUAGGGUGCAAGCGUUAAUCGGAAUUACUGGGCGUAAAGCGUGCGCAGGCGGUUCGGAAAGAAAGGUGUGAAAUCCCAGGGCUUAACCUUGGAACUGCACUUUUAACUACCGGGCUAGAGUACGUCAGAGGGGGGUAGAAUUCCACGUGUAGCAGUGAAAUGCGUAGAGAUGUGGAGGAAUACCGAUGGCGAAGGCUGCCCCCUGGGAUGAUACUGACGCUCAUGCACGAAAGCGUGGGGAGCAUACAGG